Molecule: non-coding RNA, 306 nt
Organism: Pelobates cultripes (western spadefoot toad)
Lineage: Eukaryota; Metazoa; Chordata; Amphibia; Anura; Pelobatidae
Source: the annotation of a GenBank genome assembly
CAAUCCACAAACAUAGUACUGCCCACAGGGUUUUGAAAUACAACCAAUCAAUCCGUACAAUACACACAGACACUCCCACACAAAAUCCUCCCCUCUGCCUGUGAUAUGAUUACUGAACACAAUGGUUAAUCUAAUUAUCACAGGCGGAGAAAUACAGUAUCAUAAAACACAUCACAGGGACUCCAAAACAUGCAAUAACCCCGUAUAUCAUUGGAACCGGGGGAUCUGGGUGAACCACAUAUCCAAAAUUCACCCAGAUCCGUUCAGUAGUUUGGAAGAUGCAGUUUAAUGCAGAUUCCGCAGAAC